GUGGGCUAUAUUCAUAGCAAUGCUGCUGACCUUAUAAUUUGGCAUUCUUAACUGUUUCCUUGGCUUUGUCUCCUCCAGACUUUAAAGCUAUGCAGCUACCAAGAUGACAAUGCCAGGUGCCUAAAGAAGGCCUUUAACUAGACCCUCUGUAGAGUAACUAACUGCUGACCACAACUACGACCCUCUUCAGCUGGAAGUAGCCAGAGCUGUCUUUGCCUUUUGCCUACUCACAGCACUUAGGGGUACUUCUUCGGAGUGGAGAAUAUUGCAGAUAGUUGCUGCCAUGUUUACAUGCACCAUCUGGAAGAACUAAUGAGCCAAGGAACACCAGAAAUUAUAACUUGCUUUGACUAAAUAUAAAAGAUUUUUACUGGCAAUAAAAUAAUUUUGAUUUUUUUUUCUCCUGAAAUUACAAGAAGAUUAAAAUGUGAGUUUCUGUGAUUAUUGAUACGCAAAGCUAAUUUUAAUAGAAUGAACCUGAAGGCAUCUGGCAUUCCUAAUCAGUAAAGACUAAUUUAGUCAUUAUAGCACUGGCCUCAUGAUAUAAAGUCUCUUCUGACAUUGGAAUCCUUAAAA
This 576-nucleotide long non-coding RNA is filed under the name Fukomys damarensis (Damara mole-rat). RNAcentral's name for it is "lncRNA (ENSFDAG00000024432.1)". The record is from RNAcentral. Lineage: Eukaryota; Metazoa; Chordata; Mammalia; Rodentia; Bathyergidae.